This 86-nucleotide transfer RNA is filed under the name bacterium. RNAcentral's name for it is "tRNA-Leu". It matches the Rfam family "tRNA". From Rfam's summary of the family: Transfer RNA (tRNA) molecules are approximately 80 nucleotides in length. Their secondary structure includes four short double-helical elements and three loops (D, anti-codon, and T loops). The record is from RNAcentral.
GCGCGGGUGUUGUAACGGUAGCCAAGCUGCCUUGAGGUGGCAGUGCCCGCAAGGGCGUGGAGGUUCAAAUCCUCUCCCGCGCACCA